RNAcentral lists this ribosomal RNA (909 nucleotides) under uncultured Thermotoga sp. Its description in RNAcentral is "bacterial SSU rRNA". It matches the Rfam family "Bacterial small subunit ribosomal RNA", at positions 8 to 916 of the family's 1533-position model. The record is from RNAcentral. Lineage: Bacteria; Thermotogati; Thermotogota; Thermotogae; Thermotogales; Thermotogaceae.
AGAGUUUGAUCAUGGCUCAGGGUGAACGCUGGCGGCGUGCUAACACAUGCAAGUCGAGCGGGUACCCGCAAGGGUACCAGCGGCGCACGGGUGAGUAACACGUGGGUAAUCUACCCCUCGGAGGGGGAUAACCGGGGGAAACUCCGGCUAAUACCCCAUACGAUCCAACAACACAAGUUGUUGGAUGAAAGGAGCGUUUGCUCCGCCGAGGGAUGAGCCCGCGGCCCAUCAGGUAGUUGGUGGGGUAAUGGCCCACCAAGCCUACGACGGGUAGCCGGCCUGAGAGGGUGGUCGGCCACAAGGGCACUGAGACACGGGCCCUACUCCUACGGGAGGCAGCAGUGGGGAAUCUUGGACAAUGGGCGAAAGCCUGAUCCAGCGACGCCGCGUGGGGGAUGAAGCCCUUCGGGGUGUAAACCCCUGUUGCGAGGGAGGAAUAAGGCCUGGAGGAAAUGCCAGGCCGAUGACUGUACCUCGCGAGGAAGCCCCGGCUAACUACGUGCCAGCAGCCGCGGUAAUACGUAGGGGGCGAGCGUUACCCGGAUUCACUGGGCGUAAAGCGGGUGUAGGCGGCUCGGUAAGUCGGGUGUGAAAUCCCACAGCUCAACUGUGGAAUUGCGCCCGAAACUGCUGAGCUUGGGGCCGGUAGAGGGAGACGGAACUGCCGGUGUAGGGGUGAAAUCCGUAGAUAUCGGCAGGAACGCCGGUGGGGAAGCCGGUCUCCUGGGCCGCGCCCGACGCUGAGACCCGAAAGCUAGGGGAGCAAACCGGAUUAGAUACCCGGGUAGUCCUAGCCGUAAACGAUGCCCACUAGGUGUGGGGGAUUAAUUCCUCCGUGCUGUAGCUAACGCGUUAAGUGGGCCGCCUGGGGAGUACGCCCGCAAGGGUGAAACUCAAAGGAAUUGACGG